RNAcentral lists this ribosomal RNA (504 nucleotides) under uncultured bacterium. RNAcentral describes it as "partial 16S ribosomal RNA". It matches the Rfam family "Bacterial small subunit ribosomal RNA", at positions 28 to 523 of the family's 1533-position model. The record is from RNAcentral.
GAUAAACGCUAGAGGCAGGCUUAACACAUGCAAGUCGAGGGGCAGCAUAGAUUGUAGCAAUACAAUUGGUGGCGACCGGCGCACGGGUGCGUAACGGGUAUGCAACCUACCCGUCACAGGGGGAUAAUCCGGAGAAAUCUGGUCUAAUACCCCAUAACAUAUGGAUCGGCAUCGGUUCAUGUUGAAAUUUUCGGAGGUGACGGAUGGGCAUGCGUAGCAUUAGCUUGUUGGUGAGGUAACGGCUCACCAAGGCGACGAUGCUUAGGGGGACUGAGAGGUUUUCCCCCCACACUGGUACUGAGACACGGACCAGACUCCUACGGGAGGCAGCAGUGAGGAAUAUUGGUCAAUGGGCGCAAGCCUGAACCAGCCAUGCCGCGUGCAGGAUGACGGCUCUAUGAGUUGUAAACUGCUUUUGUACGAGGGUAAAGUGGGUUACGUGUAACCUUUUGAAAGUAUCGUACGAAUAAGGAUCGGCUAACUCCGUGCCAGCAGCCGCCGUAA